GAAAUACUCUAGAUUUUUUAGAUGUUUUCUCUUUUUUUUGUACAUGUUUUUUGUGUUCGCUCGAUGAGUAAUUUGGGAAAAUCAACGGAUAUACCAGAGUAAUGCAAAGAAUUUUUUGUUCGGAUGAAAAACAUUUUUACAGUGAAGGGUAAUGGAAAGUAUUUGUUUGUCUUAUGUGCCAAUGCUUUUCUUAUUCGAACCUUCUUUUCUUUUUCUAUUUUUUAAAGAAUAUAUUGCAUCAUUUUUUUGGUGAAACUACUACGUAAAGACAAAAAGAAAAGGAGAAGCAAAUGCAGACAGGGGAUUUUGUCAAACAUGUCUACAGGAGAGGGGGGUGGGGGAAGAAAGUGCAAUGCAAAUGAAAUUAUGAAACACCUCGAGCAAUAUAGAAGAAAUAAUAUGUGCAAAGUAUUAUAUCCAGCAUGUUGUCCAGUCACCGGAACGGAAUUGUUACUCACAACAGCAAGAGGAUGUGUCGAUGUUCCAAACUGAUGGACCGGAUAGGCCAACGAGUAAGGCGGGAUCAUCUGUAGAAAAUUAACCCCAUCGCCUUGCAUUUGAGAAAUCCUUGGGUCAAACCACAUUUCCGGGUACUGGGAGCGCACUGGCUGCAAUCAAAACAUACAAACUAGCCUCUGUUUUGUUUCUCCAAUCAACAGAUGGAAAAGAGAGAGGCUACAAGGAUAUACAACAGCACCUGCUUGUUUGUUGUCUGGAGUAGAAUUUCAGAUCUAGCAUUCAGACAAGUAUCCACAAGGUUGAACAAGGAGGGGGGGACUACGAACUCACCCUGAUCUAUUCACUGUCGAACGAACAUGCAUGCCUGAUGCCCCUCGGACGGUGAUCAGUAUGGUAUCGCUGGCCCCAUACAUGUGCGAUGUGUCGCUCUCUUGCUGGAACAGAAGUCUCCGGCACGUAAAGCACCGGCCGGAUAAGGAGUAGAGCUUCUGGAUGCACACAUCUACUAUCUACUCUACUACAAAUCCACGGCAUCAUUGCUUGCCCUUUUUGCCAAGCCUAACAUACAGGACCAGGCGCACUUAAUUGGCAGAACAACGUGCUCGGGCCUCAACCCACCUAACUGAUGGCGUCGUAAAGCUACAUUUGCUCUGCCGGCCGGUCAGGCCUGUGGCUGCUGUGAUGAAGGUCAAAGGGCUGAGCCGGACAAAAGCAGAGGAGACAGAGGCCUCUGACCACUUGAGGAAACCAGCUGCUGCUUAUUUUUCAAAGACUGCGUGCGUGCACCUGCCGUUCCCUGUUCUUUAUUGUUGUUGUAGUUGUUGUCAAACCGCCGCGCCUGGUUGGAAAACAGCGAGAAGAGCUCACUGUCCUGGCAUGGCAUGGCAACGAUACUUCUCAUUCAGCGGCCUUUUCCAAAUUCAGGCCUGAAAUGAUGAAGCUCCAGCCUUGAAUCCACCAGAUCGACAGUACGUAGACACUGUAGCUGGACGGCAGCUGAGACCAAAUUAGUUUCGAGGUAAAAGCACCCCAGGUACCCUAACUUGCAGGGAAUGUGAUGAUUUAGUCCCAAACUUGUAAAAUGCAACUCCAUCAUACCGUAACUUGCAUUGGAUGUGACGAUUUGGUCCUGGGCCUAUCACAGCGUGACAAGUGGCAGCCGGAUGGGUGGACCGGUCUUCGCCUGCACUUUUGCAAAAAACACCCUGUCAUCUUGUCUAAUUAACCCGCGCUACAGGGUGAACGAUCAGUGGUUGGACU
This is a long non-coding RNA of Triticum aestivum (bread wheat), 1719 nucleotides long. RefSeq lists it as uncharacterized. The record is from RefSeq and is a predicted model, not a curated record. The transcript has 5 exons. Lineage: Eukaryota; Viridiplantae; Streptophyta; Magnoliopsida; Poales; Poaceae.